This 659-nucleotide ribosomal RNA is filed under the name Geastrum subiculosum. RNAcentral's name for it is "eukaryotic LSU rRNA". It matches the Rfam family "Eukaryotic large subunit ribosomal RNA", at positions 44 to 684 of the family's 3401-position model. The record is from RNAcentral. Lineage: Eukaryota; Fungi; Basidiomycota; Agaricomycetes; Geastrales; Geastraceae.
CAAUAAGCGGAGGAAAAGAAACUAACAAGGAUUCCCCUAGUAACGGCGAGUGAAGAGGGAAAAGCUCAAAUUUAAAAUCUGGUGGCCUACGGUCAUCCGAAUUGUAAUCUAGAGAAGUGUUUUCCGUGCUGGACCGUGUACAAGUCCUUUGGAACAAGGCGUCAUAGAGGGUGAGAAUCCCGUCUACGACACGGACUACCAGUGCUUUGUGAUACACUCUCAACGAGUCGAGUUGUUUGGGAAUGCAGCUCAAAAUGGGUGGUAAAUUCCAUCUAAAGCUAAAUACGGGCGAAAGACCGAUAGCGAACAAGUACCGUGAGGGAAAGAUGAAAAGCACUUUGGAAAGAGAGUUAAACAGUACGUGAAAUUGUUGAAAGGGAAACGCUUGAAGUCAGUCGCGUCUUCAGAAAUUCAGCCUUGCUUCUGCUUGGUGUACUUUUCUGUUGGACGGGCCAGCAUCAGUUUUGACCGCCAGAAAAAGGUGAGAGGAAGGUGGCACCUCCGGGUGUGUUAUAGCCUCUCAUCGUAUGUGGCGGUUGGGACUGAGGAUCGCAGCAUGCCUUUAUGGUCGGGGUUCGCCCACGUAACGUGCUUAGGAUGCUGGCGUAAUGGCUUUAAGCGACCCGUCUUGAAACACGGACCAAGGAGUCUAACAUGCC